AACACUUUUUCUUUCGAGGACCAUGGAUUGGAUUUUGAGGAGCUUUUGGGAGCAGGUGAGUACAAGGAGAAGUACCAUGCUGACAUGAUCCAGUGGGGUGAGAAGCAGAGGGAGAAGGACCCAGGGUUCUUCUGUCUUGUGGCCAUCAAGGCAGCCCAUCUGGAUUGUGAGUGACACACGGCAUCUGUCAGACCUGCAGUGGUUCUGGAGGGAGUAUCCUAGUCAGUCUCGCCGUGUUCGGGUGGAGGCCUCAGAAGAGACACGGAGGGAGAGGGGCUGGGAGUUCACAACAGGAAUAGAUGAUGCAGAGUCUGAAUGUGGGCUCGACCAAGGAGUGGAUUUUGAUUGGAUAAUGAAAAAUGAGGGCGAUGGCUCACAACUGGAGGAGCAGCUUGCUACUGGGCUGCUCUCAAUAGCCAAAGAAAAGCCGAAAGAGGACUGACGUAGAGGGGACAUUACACAGCUGUAGGAACUUGCUGAAAGCUCUUGUUGGAAAGUGUAGUUGGGUAUACAUUACACUAUUUUCUGUGAAAAUCCUAAAACACCUUUGAUACACUGAGGAGCAGCAGAAAGUGAGAAUAUGUAGUAUUUAUUUCUCUACAGUGUUCUGUACUAUCAACUAAGUAGCAGGGCAAGAAUACUAAAAUCUGAUCAAACACUGACCGAUAUGUGAAUUUACAUGGAUCACACAGGUAACUGCCAAAAUAAAAUAAACACGCAGGAAAAUGAAGGAUACAAAGUAUAUUGAAAGCUGGUGCUUCCACACAGGUGUGGUUCGUGAGUUAAUUAAGCAAUUAAAACAAUGCUUAGGGUGAUGUAUAAAAAUUAUUUGGGCUACCAUAGCUAGAAGAGAUGUGACUGUCACAUUCAUCCAAUAAAGUUCGACACUUGAAUAGAUGCCAAGGUGCAUUGAAGCUUUUCUGGUGGCACAAUGCCUUAAGACACUUUGGGGUUUCCUUUAUUAUUUUGGCAUUUUCCUGUACUUAGUGAUGUCAGAGGCAAAUUUCACCAAGACCCAAUGUGCAGAUGUUGACUUAAUCUGUACUUGUGUAAAAGUGUCAAAUUGUGCCAUUUAGUUUUUUUUUUUAAUAGUCUUCGAUUGUACAGUAGUUAACUAGGCUACUUUAAAGUAUAGUUUUAGUUGUAAAUAGCUAGAUGAUUAACUGGAAACCUGGAACGUGCACAUAAGCUGACCCAUGGUAAAAUUAGCACAAUACUGCAUUACACAACCAUUCAACAUAAUUAAAAUGUACUAGACACAGACAUGAUCAAUGUUCUAAUAGCAUGGUAAGUGUUAGUUCAUAAAACAUUUAAAAGUAGACAUGAAGGGAGCAGCACCUAGAUUGGAGUGGUGUCAAACUGAAGGUAGAAAGAAAAUACUAUAAAAAUUGUAAUGUCAAUACAAAUCAUGGUUCUUUAUUUUUUUAAAUUGUGUCCAUUUUUGUGUCAUGAUUAUUACAAUCAAAACAUUACUGGUAACAAUGUUUACACCCAUAGCGUCGAGUGAAAAGUUCCAGUUAAACUUGAUGCAAUACUUUACUUUUUAUUUCUUUAUUAAUUACAAGGUUUGCAGUUCACUUAAUUUGCAGGGGGAAAAAAAUAGUUUAGUCUAUACUGAUAAGAAGUUUAGAUAAUACCCUUGUGUCCCUUCUCCCUAUUCAUUGGCCCCUAUGCUUCCAUUUUGGCAGUGGAAUGCGUAGUGAUUGGCUGAUCACACCCCUCCCCUACAUCAUCUUAUUGGAAAAAAUAACAAUUAGCUUAGAGGACUAAGGCUGCAAUUGGCUAGAAUAUCUGCAUCCAAUUCUGUCUGAAGCUAUACGACAUUUAUAUCCCUUCAAUGACCUAAGACUCACAAUUCAAUUUCCUGAUCUUGGGGGGGGGUAAACUGGAAAGAAAAGAAAAAAAUCAGUUUA
Non-coding RNA from Salmo salar (Atlantic salmon), 1913 nucleotides. Lineage: Eukaryota; Metazoa; Chordata; Actinopteri; Salmoniformes; Salmonidae. The record is from RefSeq and is a predicted model, not a curated record.